CAUGUAGGCGGGAAUCUAAGUCUGUUGUGAAAAUGCGGGGCUCAACCCCGUAUUGCGAUGGAAACUGGGUUUCUUUGAGUGCAGGAGAGGAAAGGGGAAUUCCCAGUGUAGCGGUGAAAUGCGUAGAUAUUGGGAGGAACACCAGUGGCGAAGGCGCCUUCUGGACUGUGUCUGACGCUGAGAUGCGAAAGCCAGGGUAGCGAACG
This 206-nucleotide ribosomal RNA is filed under the name uncultured bacterium. Its description in RNAcentral is "partial 16S ribosomal RNA". It matches the Rfam family "Bacterial small subunit ribosomal RNA", at positions 568 to 774 of the family's 1533-position model. The record is from RNAcentral.